AUGCCCAUUGAGUUCCAAUUACCUUAUAAAUAGAGGAGAAAUCUACUCUCCAUUUGCACAACAAUCAAUUUCCAAAGAAAAGCUGAAUUUAUACAGAGUACUCCACAUAACCACUCGCCUCCCUUCCUCUGUUCUCACGCACAACCACCAUCACCACCGCGGCUCUGCCGCCGGCCAACCUGAUGCCACCACCCUUAAAAUUUCGUUCUCCACCCCCAGAAUAUGCUCAUUCACUACCGACAAAUAUCAAGCUCGAAUCGUAGUUCAGUUGUCGAAACCGAACAUUAACUCAUGCACAACCUAUUUUCUCUCUCUCCAUUGACGCGGACCACCACCGCCGGAAACCACCAUCAGCACCAUCCCCUCCGACGUUCUUCUGCCGUCGCGCCACCUAAAAACACCAACCACCUGAGCCCCUCCUUGUGCCGCCAUUGCCUCUCGGACCUUCCUCCUUCCGUGCUUCAGUUCUGUUCUACCAAAGAGUUAAUGGAUUUUGAAAUCAAUUUCCCAAAUUGAAGUGUUGUCAGCACCUUUAUUUCUAAAUAAAGUCAACCUACUUUACCUUUAUGACUUUUGUAUAAAAUAGUUCUCGGAGCUCAGGAAGAACGAUCCAUCGAACGGGACGUAUAAACUACGGUUGAGGUACGAAGAAGAUCAUGGGAUGCCUUAGAGUGAGGAUGCAACCAUCAAAGUCACGAUCGAUGUUUAAUAAAGAUAACUAUGUCAUUAGUAAUAAAGGGAUGUAUUAAUUAAACUCUAAGUUUGAUUUCACGAUUUGAGUUAGAUUUUCAAAUUAAUGUUGAAACAUGUUAGAAAUAUUUAUUAAGGUUUACUUAGAUUUUAAUGUAAUUUUUAAAGAAUUAAUCGAAGUGAAGUAUAAUUACUGUUACUCAACAGUAGUCAGUAAAUGUAAAAAGGUUAUGUCGCCUUGUAUUUCCCACGAGGGAGAUACGGCAAGUGACGCUCCGACUAAAUUAGGGUUUCCGCUGCUAAUUAAAGAUAAUUAACCUAAUUAAUGGUGUUUAGAAGUCGGGGUGUUACACUUUCACUUGUUCUAGAUUAGGUAAUUAUAAAAAAUAAUAUUAACUUGAUUUAAGUUAUUGUUUAGUUAGGUCAAUGACAAAUAGGGUUGUCAACAGGUGGAUAAAACCAGGUAACGGGUUGUCACGAGUUGGUUCAAUAACAAGUUUAAUCGGGUUAUAAUUGGUUUCGGGUUGACAUCGAGUUGGGCAUUUUCCGGAAUG
Spinacia oleracea (spinach) is the source of this 1244-nucleotide long non-coding RNA. RefSeq lists it as uncharacterized. The transcript has 3 exons. Lineage: Eukaryota; Viridiplantae; Streptophyta; Magnoliopsida; Caryophyllales; Amaranthaceae. The record is from RefSeq and is a predicted model, not a curated record.